This is a long non-coding RNA of Acanthopagrus latus (yellowfin seabream), 362 nucleotides long. RefSeq lists it as uncharacterized. The record is from RefSeq and is a predicted model, not a curated record. NCBI's taxonomy places the organism in Eukaryota, Metazoa, Chordata, Actinopteri, Spariformes, Sparidae. The transcript has 3 exons.
UGGGAGGAGGCGGAGGUCGGUGUUGAAGGUGUGGGCUGUGGACUUAUCAUUUUUCCAGCGGGUCAAGGUGCGGGAAGAAUCACUCAAUCAGCGAGGCGAGAAAGUUGACAGUGCCAGCGAACUGUUGCUCACCUGAACAUCCAGCAUUAUCAAUCAUUUGUGGUCUCCGCCAGCCCCUGAGGGAAACGUCUGACUCUGAGCAUGUAGUACUCGGUGGGUUCGCAGACCCUUUUUCUCAGACAGCCGCCGCCUGCUGCAACCAAACCGGCGGUAUGAGAGUGUGUGACCGGACACCAGAUGCCCCCCCCCCCCCCGCACCUCUGCCACCGCCACUCAACCCCCUGACCGCCCAAGCCAGCCAC